This 253-nucleotide ribosomal RNA is filed under the name uncultured bacterium. RNAcentral describes it as "partial 16S ribosomal RNA". It matches the Rfam family "Bacterial small subunit ribosomal RNA", at positions 524 to 776 of the family's 1533-position model. The record is from RNAcentral.
UACGUAGGGCGCAAGCGUUGUCCGGAAUUAUUGGGCGUAAAGAGCUCGUAGGCGGCCUGUUACGUCUGCUGUGAAAUCCCGGGGCUUAACCCCGGGCGUGCAGUGGAUACGGGCAGGCUGGAGGCAGGCAGGGGAGAACGGAAUUCCUGGUGUAGCGGUGAAAUGCGCAGAUAUCAGGAGGAACACCGGUGGCGAAGGCGGGUCUCUGGGCCGUAACUGACGCUGAGGAGCGAAAGCGUGGGGAGCGAACAGG